GGCGGAGCCAAGCUCGGCGGAGGGAGUCGGUUGCACCACUUCCUUUCCGUAUUGCGGGGAGAGAAAUAAAGGCCUCGUAGCUGCCAGUUCCUUCAAUAAACAAUAUAGUUUACCUUUUGCAAAUUUGGGUCCAUUUCUGAAAUGAUUGAAAAACAAACCAGUUUAUCAAAGAGAAACAACGUGCGUUCAUUUUUGGCCCUCUGGAUGCGGAAAGUUCCUUCUAGCACCAGCUCUCCAUAACUCGCAAGGUCUGGGCCUUUCCAGUUCGAUCUAUCAGAUGUUAUGUGGAACUCUUUGUACAAGGCUUAGGACACUGUAAACACACCAGUCACUCAGCAUGAGAUGGGGUUACAAACAUUGUGGGUAAAUGACGCAGACCACACUGGGACUUUCAGAAAACUCAGGCAACAGGGGGUAAAAGUGGAAGUGAGCAGUACAAAUUCAGCACGUUACAGAUCACAGUUUGUUUGUUUUUUCUGUGUGAAAUAAAAGUGGCCAAUUCAAAGACAGUUCUUUAAAAGUAUAAAUGUAUAAUUUAGCCUUUGUAGGUUGAAUAGAGUGUAGACAAAAGUUCAUUGACAAAGCGUUUUACUUACAUGCAAAAGUAAAUGAUAUUUCAGUAUUCUUUGAACAGGCUUUAAAAGAUAGGAUCCCAAAGGAAGAGAAUGUUGUAAAGCUUCUUGUCUUUCUCUGAAAAACUUGGCUAAGGACUUGUUUCUCAUGCAUUCGCCGAUCGCUCCUCUGUACCCAAAGACAGCUUGGAUUGGUCAGUGAUACAAUCAAGUCUGAGUACCCAACUUCAAUAUUUCUACUUGCAUUCUACUCUACCAACAGUUUCAAACAGCAAACUCCAUGAAUAUGUCUAUCCAGUUUUCCUGACAAGAGUAUGAAAAUGGUUUGCUGUUGUCUUUCCAAACCUAGAUUUUAACAGCCAUAUGUUGCCACCUGUUGAAACAUCAAGACUUUUCAUACAUGGAAACAAGGUUUUCGUGGCAUAUUUGGCUUUCUUCCAAUAUUUCCAUCAGAGAGCUGUUCCUUGAUAGGGUUAUUUUUUCUUAGCUCUUUGCUGGGCAACUGUUGGGUUGGUGCAGCUCCAACUUAUGGCCCCCACUUCCUUGUCCUGAUUGAACAAACCCAGAUGACUGUUGGAAACCAAGGUUGUUCUGCCUGCCACAGGAACAGUGACUAUCUCUGGAGGAUGCUGAGGAAGAUGUUGAGCUGAAGCUAACCGGUCGGUCACUGUCUGACAAUUC
This is a long non-coding RNA of Thamnophis elegans (Western terrestrial garter snake), 1253 nucleotides long. RefSeq lists it as uncharacterized. The record is from RefSeq and is a predicted model, not a curated record. The transcript has 7 exons. NCBI's taxonomy places the organism in Eukaryota, Metazoa, Chordata, Lepidosauria, Squamata, Natricidae.